This is a non-coding RNA of Alkaliphilus metalliredigens QYMF, 110 nucleotides long. NCBI's taxonomy places the organism in Bacteria, Bacillati, Bacillota, Clostridia, Peptostreptococcales, Natronincolaceae. The record is from Rfam.
UACCACAUCCAUCCCGUGGUAUUCCUACCGAUAAAUGCCUAGUAAGUAAUGAAUGGUGUAAAGCAAUCGGGACAAUGCGAAAACAAUAGUAGUCACAACUAUUCUAUUGC